AAGCUUCGACUAAGGUUCGAUUCGAGCGCAGCGAGAAAGCGUUGCCGCAGGCAACGACCCGAAGGGCGAAGCGCGCAGCGCUGAGUCAUCCUUCCCCCACCACCA
This 105-nucleotide small RNA is filed under the name Salmonella enterica. RNAcentral's name for it is "partial RtT sRNA". It matches the Rfam family "RtT RNA", at positions 27 to 130 of the family's 130-position model. From Rfam's summary of the family: This family represents a bacterial cis-regulatory element known as RtT RNA. The exact function of RtT is unknown although it is thought that it may be involved in changing the cellular response in relation to amino acid starvation. RNAcentral also lists the same sequence under 4 other names. The record is from RNAcentral. Lineage: Bacteria; Pseudomonadati; Pseudomonadota; Gammaproteobacteria; Enterobacterales; Enterobacteriaceae.